Molecule: long non-coding RNA, 626 nt
Filed under: Durio zibethinus
Lineage: Eukaryota; Viridiplantae; Streptophyta; Magnoliopsida; Malvales; Malvaceae
Description: long non-coding RNA (DZIB_LNC002210)
Source: RNAcentral
UCACGAAUUUUUGUCCGAAAAAAAAAAAAUUAUAAAAAAGUUCUGUGACAUCGUUUCCGUCAUCAGAAAAACCAUUGACGACAACUAUCAAGCGUUGUUUUGGUCGGAUCUUCUACCGAAAGGGCAAAUCUGGCCUCUAUAAGCCAGAUCGACUUGUUGGCGGCUGGAUUUGUUACUUAACAACAACAACUAGUCACGUCGGCAGCUAGAUCCAAUUGCUGGUAGCGUCAACUAAGCUCAACGACGGUUGCAUCUAUUCACUGUCAUGGCAAGAUCGGCGCUCCAACAUCCAUUCUGAUGCUUGAUCGAUGCUCCAUUGGCGGCAAAUCAAUUUCUCGGCACCGAUCAAGGGUGGAAACUUGAUCUAAAAGGGGAAAAAAAAAAGCAAUAGAAAAGGAGUUAUUAAUUAAUAAUAAUUGAUUAAUUAUUAUGAAUAAUAAAUUAUAAUUAAUUUAGUACAAAAGCAAAAUAAGCUUUUAAAUUUAACUCAACUAUAUUUUUUAAACUAAUCAAAUAUAUUAAUAUUAAUUUUUUUAUUCCAUUCUAAUAAACUAAAUUUUUUUUUUUAUUCUCACAAAAUACUUAUUUUACACUUUUUAUUUUAUUUCUCGAAUCAAAACAUGAUG